GGUCGGUGGCUCAGUGGUAGAGCACCUGCCUCACAUGUGUGAGGCACUGGGUUCGAUCCUCAGCAUCA
This 68-nucleotide transfer RNA is filed under the name Marmota monax (woodchuck). RNAcentral describes it as "tRNA.Val". Lineage: Eukaryota; Metazoa; Chordata; Mammalia; Rodentia; Sciuridae. The record is from RNAcentral.